This 499-nucleotide long non-coding RNA is filed under the name Homo sapiens (human). RNAcentral's name for it is "HSALNT0183944". The record is from RNAcentral. Lineage: Eukaryota; Metazoa; Chordata; Mammalia; Primates; Hominidae.
CCUCCCUGUCCUGCUUCACCUGAGACACCCCUUGUCUCAUUAGACAUGCAACUACGGGAGGGGUGACAGGAAGACAAGACACUAUUUCCUCAGGCCCAGUUUGGUGUGGGGAGAAAGCCUCCUGAUCCUGAAAGCAAGAAUUUGACCAGAGCAGAAGUAAUCAGUAUGCAGAUUGACUCUGUGAAGCAGGCUGCCAUGUUGCAAGCUGCCUCAUGGAGGGGAUCAGCUGCGAGGAACUAAGAGCCCCCUCCAGUCGAUGCUCACCAGGAAGCUGAGGUCUUGUGUCCAGCACCCUGCAUGGAACUGAAUGCUGCCAUGUGAGCUUGGAAGCAGAGCCAUCCACACAGCUGAGCCCCAGAUGAGAACCCAGUGCUGGCUGACACCCUGAUGGCACCUUACAGAGGACCAGUUAGGCUGUGCCAACUCCUGACCUGCAGAAGCUGGGGAACAUUGGGUCGUAUUUGCAGCUGCUGGAUUUGUGGGAAUUUGUCACACAGCA